GACGAACGCUGGCGGCGUGCUUAACACAUGCAAGUCGAACGGAAAGGCCCUGCUUGCCGGGUACUCGAGUGGCGAACGGGUGAGUAACACGUGGGUGAUCUGCCCUGCACUUCGGGAUAAGCCUGGGAAACUGGGUCUAAUACCGGAUAGGAGCCAUUUUUAGUGUGAUGGUUGGAAAGUUUUUUCGGUGUAGGAUGAGCUCGCGGCCUAUCAGCUUGUUGGUGGGGUAAUGGCCUACCAAGGCGGCGACGGGUAGCCGGCCUGAGAGGGUGGACGGCCACAUUGGGACUGAGAUACGGCCCAGACUCCUACGGGAGGCAGCAGUGGGGAAUAUUGCACAAGGGGCGCAAGCCUGAUGCAGCGACGCCGCGUGGGGGAUGACGGCCUUCGGGUUGUAAACGCCUUUCGCUAGGGACGAAGCUUUUUGUGACGGUACCUAGAUAAGAAGCACCGGCUAACUACGUG
This 465-nucleotide ribosomal RNA is filed under the name uncultured bacterium. Its description in RNAcentral is "partial 16S ribosomal RNA". It matches the Rfam family "Bacterial small subunit ribosomal RNA", at positions 28 to 507 of the family's 1533-position model. The record is from RNAcentral.